AACGUACGCUGGCGGCACGCCUAACACAUGCAAGUCGAACGAAGUAGCAAUACUUAGUGGCAGACGGGUGAGUAACAUGUAGGUAUCUACCCUUUGGCCUGGAAUAACACGAGGAAACUUGUGCUAAUACCGGAUAAGUCUUUACGGAGAAAGCUUUAUGCACCAUUGGAUGAGCCUGCACUUGAUUAGUUUGUUGGUAGGGUAAUGGCCUACCAAGACUGUGAUCAAUAGCUGAUUUGAGAGGAUGAUCAGCCACAUUGGGACUGAGACACGGCCCAAACUCCUACGGGAGGCAGCAGUGGGGAAUCUUGCACAAUGGAGGAAACUCUGAUGCAGCGAUGCCGCGUGAGUGAAGAAGGCCCUUGGGUUGUAAAGCUCUUUCGUCGGGGAAGAAAAUGACUGUACCCGAAUAAGAAGGUCCGGCUAACUUCGUGCCAGCAGCCGCGGUAAUACGAAGGGACCUAGCGUAGUUCGGAAUUACUGGGCUUAAAGAGUUCGUAGGUGGUUGAAAAAGUUGGUGGUGAAAUCCCAGAGCUUAACUCUGGAACUGCCAUCAAAACUUUUCAGCUAGAGUUUGAUAGAGGAAAGCAGAAUUUCUAGUGUAGAGGUGAAAUUCGUAGAUAUUAGAAAGAAUACCAAUUGCGAAGGCAGCUUUCUGGAUCAUUACUGACACUGAGGAACGAAAGCAUGGGUAGCGAAGAGGAUUAGAUACCCUCGUAGUCCAUGCCGUAAACGAUGUGUGUUAGACGUUGGAAAUUUAUUUCCAGUGUCGCAGCGAAAGCGAUAAACACACCGCCUGGGGAGUACGACCGCAAGGUUAAAACUCAAAUGAAUUGACGGGGACCCGCACAAGUAGUGGAGCAUGUGGUUUAAUUCGAAGAUACGCGCAGAACCUUACCAACACUUGACAUGUUCGUCGCGACUUUAAGAGAUUAAAGUUUUCGGUUCGGCCGGACGAAACACAGGUGCUGCAUGGCUGUCGUCAGCUCGUGUCGUGAGAUGUUGGGUUAAGUCCCGCAACGAGCGCAACCCUCACUUUUAGUUGCCAUCAUUAAGUUGGGCACUCUGAAAGAACUGCCAGUGAUAAGCUGGAGGAAGGUGGGGAUGACGUCAAGUCCUCAUGGCCCUUACGUGUUGGGCUACACACGUGCUACAAUGGUAUUUACAACAGGAAGCAAGACAGCGAUGUUAAGCAAAUCCUUAAAAAAUACCUCAGUUCGGAUUGCACUCUGCAACUCGAGUGCAUGAAGCUGGAAUUACUAGUAAUCGUGGAUCAGCGUGCCACGGUGAAUGCGUUCCCGGGUCUUGUACACACCGCCCGUCACACCAUGGGAGUUGGUUCUACCUUAAGGCAAGGUUUUAAACCCUUGACCACGGUAUAGUCAGCGACUGGGGUG
Molecule: ribosomal RNA, 1397 nt
Filed under: uncultured marine bacterium
Lineage: Bacteria
Description: bacterial SSU rRNA
Rfam family: Bacterial small subunit ribosomal RNA
Source: RNAcentral